UCCAUUUGUCUGUGUUUCAACGUGGUUGAGUGGUCGACCUUUGCCCAUCUCCAGUGGUCUACCGCUCCCUUCCCUCCACCUGACCCCACUCACAUAGUCUUGCUAUUUCUUGUUUUCAUCUAUGUCUGGUAUGGAACAGUUCCUACUCUGCUUUUUUCUUUUCUAGAUUCAUAAUGGUUCCUAUGAGACAAAAGCUGAGCUCAUCAUCUUCCUACAAUAUCACCUCUCAACUGAGCAUACUUCCUGUCUCUGGUUCUGGGCAAUUUCCAAUAUUUUUAGAUAUCUAUUCAUAAUUGAAUCCCUCCCCUCAUAUUUAGCAUAUGCUGGAUAAGGAAGAAAUAUCUAAUGGUUUCUGGAUCUUAAAUGCCCUACCAAAGUACACGUAUCGAAGGCUUGGUUCUUCCAGGUCCCAGAACUGAUGGGCAUUCCAGGCUAUGCUGGCUCUGACCUCUAUGAUUGACCACAUGUUCAAAGACUCCUACUUGGCGUCGCCAUAUUCUCUGAUGGAACAAAUCCAAGCUAUUGACCAAGAGGAGGACCAUGGUACCAAAGAGAGUUGGAGUGAUGUCAUACAAGACCUGCUGACGGCUGCAGAACUGAGAUGGAUGGCUGAUGAUCAUAAAGGCAGAAAUUGUAGUCUAAUUUGUAAUGAUCAAAGCAGUCUAAGAAAGGAUUGGGCUAACUCGGGAUGUGAUAAGCUCCCUAUUGCUGAAGCCUUCACCACAGUGCUCACAGCACUCAGCACGCUCUUCAACUUGGACAAGAAGACUUACAAGAAAUUGCUCGACUAAAAUGUGUUCAUUAGCUUGAAGCCCCAUCUGAGUAGACUAGAUUCUCUAUGAAAAGGGAAAUCAGGGUACAUAGACACAAGAGAUGCCCACAAGGAAGAAAGGCCACAUAAGAAUUUGGGGGUAGAUGGCCAGCUAGAGCCUCAUGAGAAACUAAGCCUGCCUGACAGAUUGGACUUGCAAUUCCAGAAUACAGAAC
RNAcentral lists this small RNA (987 nucleotides) under Rattus norvegicus (Norway rat). Its description in RNAcentral is "uncharacterized LOC103695038". Lineage: Eukaryota; Metazoa; Chordata; Mammalia; Rodentia; Muridae. The record is from RNAcentral.